Molecule: transfer RNA, 71 nt
Filed under: Urocitellus parryii (Arctic ground squirrel)
Lineage: Eukaryota; Metazoa; Chordata; Mammalia; Rodentia; Sciuridae
Also listed under: 2 other names
Description: Spermophilus parryii (Arctic ground squirrel) tRNA
Rfam family: tRNA
About the family: Transfer RNA (tRNA) molecules are approximately 80 nucleotides in length. Their secondary structure includes four short double-helical elements and three loops (D, anti-codon, and T loops).
Source: Rfam by way of RNAcentral
GGGGGUGUAGCUCAGUAGUAGAGUGCCUGUUUGGCACACAUGAGACCCUGGGUCAAUGACCAGCACCCCCA